RNAcentral lists this ribosomal RNA (495 nucleotides) under uncultured bacterium. RNAcentral describes it as "partial 16S ribosomal RNA". It matches the Rfam family "Bacterial small subunit ribosomal RNA", at positions 28 to 507 of the family's 1533-position model. The record is from RNAcentral.
GACGAACGCUGGCGGCGUGCCUAAUACAUGCAAGUAGAACGCUGAAGGAGGAGCUUGCUUCUCUGGAUGAGUUGCGAACGGGUAAGUAACGCGUAGGUAACCUGCCUGGUAGCGGGGGAUAACUAUUGGAAACGAUAGCUAAUACCGCAUAAGAGUAGAUGUUGCAUGACAUUUGCUUAAAAGGUGCAAUUGCAUCACUACCAGAUGGACCUGCGUUGUAUUAGCUAGUUGGUGGGGUAACGGCUCACCAAGGCGACGAUACAUAGCCGACCUGAGAGGGUGAUCGGCCACACUGGGACUGAGACACGGCCCAGACUCCUACGGGAGGCAGCAGUAGGGAAUCUUCGGCAAUGGACGGAAGUCUGACCGAGCAACGCCGCGUGAGUGAAGAAGGUUUUCGGAUCGUAAAGCUCUGUUGUAAGAGAAGAACGAGUGUGAGAGUGGAAAGUUCACACUGUGACGGUAUCUUACCAGAAAGGGACGGCUAACUACGUG